RNAcentral lists this ribosomal RNA (3119 nucleotides) under Streptomyces sp. Go-475. Its description in RNAcentral is "bacterial LSU rRNA". It matches the Rfam family "Bacterial large subunit ribosomal RNA". Lineage: Bacteria; Bacillati; Actinomycetota; Actinomycetes; Kitasatosporales; Streptomycetaceae. The record is from RNAcentral.
CCAAGUUUUUAAGGGCGCACGGUGGAUGCCUUGGCACCAGGAACCGAUGAAGGACGUGGGAGGCCGCGAUAGGCCCCGGGGAGCUGUCAACCGAGCUUUGAUCCGGGGGUGUCCGAAUGGGGAAACCCGGCAGUCGUCAUGGGCUGUCACCCGCUGCUGAACACAUAGGCAGUGUGGAGGGAACGCGGGGAAGUGAAACAUCUCAGUACCCGCAGGAAGAGAAAACAACCGUGAUUCCGGGAGUAGUGGCGAGCGAAACUGGAUGAGGCCAAACCGUAUGCGUGUGAGACCCGGCAGGGGUUGCGUAUACGGGGUUGUGGGAUCUCUCUUUCAUGGUCUGCCGGCCAUGAGACGAGUCAGAAACCGUUGAUGUAGGCGAAGGACAUGCGAAAGGUCCGGCGUAGAGGGUAAGACCCCCGUAGUCGAAACGUCAGCGGCUCGUUUGAGAGACACCCAAGUAGCACGGGGCCCGAGAAAUCCCGUGUGAAUCUGGCGGGACCACCCGCUAAGCCUAAAUAUUCCCUGGUGACCGAUAGCGGAUAGUACCGUGAGGGAAUGGUGAAAAGUACCCCGGGAGGGGAGUGAAAUAGUACCUGAAACCGUGUGCCUACAAGCCGUGGGAGCGUCGGAACAAGGCUUGCCUUGUUCUCGUGACUGCGUGCCUUUUGAAGAAUGAGCCUGCGAGUUUGCGGUGUGUUGCGAGGUUAACCCGUGUGGGGAAGCCGUAGCGAAAGCGAGUCCGAAUAGGGCGUUGGAGUAGCACGCUCAAGACCCGAAGCGGAGUGAUCUAGCCAUGGGCAGGUUGAAGCGGAGGUAAGACUUCGUGGAGGACCGAACCCACCAGGGUUGAAAACCUGGGGGAUGACCUGUGGUUAGGGGUGAAAGGCCAAUCAAACUCCGUGAUAGCUGGUUCUCCCCGAAAUGCAUUUAGGUGCAGCGUCGUGUGUUUCUUGCCGGAGGUAGAGCACUGGAUAGGCGAUGGGCCCUACCGGGUUACUGACCUUAGCCAAACUCCGAAUGCCGGUAAGUGAGAGCGCGGCAGUGAGACUGUGGGGGAUAAGCUCCAUGGUCGAGAGGGAAACAGCCCAGAGCAUCGACUAAGGCCCCUAAGCGUACGCUAAGUGGGAAAGGAUGUGGAGUCGCAGAGACAACCAGGAGGUUGGCUUAGAAGCAGCCACCCUUGAAAGAGUGCGUAAUAGCUCACUGGUCUAGUGAUUCCGCGCCGACAAUGUAGCGGGGCUCAAGCGUACCGCCGAAGUCGUGUCAUUGCGAUAUAUACCCCCAACGGGUGUAUGGAUGGGUAGGGGAGCGUCGUCUGCCGGGUGAAGCAGCCGUGUAAGCGAGUUGUGGACGGUUGACGAGUGAGAAUGCAGGCAUGAGUAGCGAUUCACACGUGAGAAACGUGUGCGCCGAUUGACUAAGGGUUCCUGGGUCAAGCUGAUCUGCCCAGGGUAAGUCGGGACCUAAGGCGAGGCCGACAGGCGUAGUCGAUGGAUAACCGGUUGAUAUUCCGGUACCCGCUGUGAAGCGUCAAACAUCGAGCAUCGUGAUACUAAGCCGUAAAGCCGCCGGUGAUCCCUUCGGGGAGUGAUCCGGAGUGGUGGAACCGCCGAACCAAGCAGUUAAUGGAGUGAGUGAUGGGGUGACGGAAGGUAAUCCAGCCCGGGCGGUGGUUGUCCGGGGUAAGGGUAUAGGACGUCAGGUAGGCAAAUCCGCCUGGCAAUAGUCUGAGACCUGAUGCCGAGCCGAUUGUGGUGAAGUGGAUGAUCCUAUGCUGUCGAGAAAAGCCUCUAGCGAGUUUCAUGGCGGCCCGUACCCUAAACCGACUCAGGUGGUCAGGUAGAGAAUACCGAGGCGUUCGGGUGAACUAUGGUUAAGGAACUCGGCAAAAUGCCCCCGUAACUUCGGGAGAAGGGGGGCCACAUCCGGUGACGGGCUUUGCGCCCUGAGCUGGGGGUGGCCGCAGAGACCAGCGAGAAGCGACUGUUUACUAAAAACACAGGUCCGUGCGAAGCCGUAAGGCGAUGUAUACGGACUGACGCCUGCCCGGUGCUGGAACGUUAAGGGGACCGGUUAGCUCAGAUUCGUCUGGGCGAAGCUGAGAACUUAAGCGCCAGUAAACGGCGGUGGUAACUAUAACCAUCCUAAGGUAGCGAAAUUCCUUGUCGGGUAAGUUCCGACCUGCACGAAUGGCGUAACGACUUCUCGACUGUCUCAACCAUAGGCCCGGUGAAAUUGCACUACGAGUAAAGAUGCUCGUUUCGCGCAGCAGGACGGAAAGACCCCGGGACCUUUACUACAGUUUGAUAUUGGUGUUCGGUUCGGCUUGUGUAGGAUAGCUGGGAGACUGUGAAGCGCUAACGCCAGUUAGUGUGGAGUCGUCGUUGAAAUACCAGUCUGGUCGUGCUGGAUGUCUAACCUGGGUCCGUGAUCCGGAUCAGGGACAGUGUCUGAUGGGUAGUUUAACUGGGGCGGUUGCCUCCUAAAGGGUAACGGAGGCGCCCAAAGGUUCCCUCAGCCUGGUUGGCAAUCAGGUGUUGAGUGUAAGUGCACAAGGGAGCUUGACUGUGAGACCGACGGGUCGAGCAGGGACGAAAGUCGGGACUAGUGAUCCGGCGGUGGCUUGUGGAAGCGCCGUCGCUCAACGGAUAAAAGGUACCCCGGGGAUAACAGGCUGAUCUUCCCCAAGAGUCCAUAUCGACGGGAUGGUUUGGCACCUCGAUGUCGGCUCGUCGCAUCCUGGGGCUGGAGUCGGUCCCAAGGGUUGGGCUGUUCGCCCAUUAAAGCGGUACGCGAGCUGGGUUUAGAACGUCGUGAGACAGUUCGGUCCCUAUCCGCUGUGCGCGUAGGAGUCUUGAGAAGGGCUGUCCCUAGUACGAGAGGACCGGGACGGACGAACCUCUGGUGUGCCAGUUGUUCUGCCAAGGGCAUGGCUGGUUGGCUACGUUCGGGAGGGAUAACCGCUGAAAGCAUCUAAGCGGGAAGCCUGCUUCGAGAUGAGGACUCCCACCUCCUGGAGAGGGUAAGGCUCCCAGUAGACGACUGGGUUGAUAGGCCGGAUAUGGAAGCACGGUAACGUGUGGAGUUGACCGGUACUAAUAGGCCGAGGGCUUGUCCUC